RNAcentral lists this ribosomal RNA (470 nucleotides) under uncultured bacterium. RNAcentral's name for it is "partial 16S ribosomal RNA". It matches the Rfam family "Bacterial small subunit ribosomal RNA", at positions 28 to 507 of the family's 1533-position model. The record is from RNAcentral.
GACGAACGCUGGCUGCGUGCUUAACACAAGCAAGUCGAACGCUGAAGCCCCAGCUUGCUGGGGUGGAUGAGUGGCGAACGGGUGAGUAACACGUGAGUAACCUGCCCCUGACUUCGGGAUAAGCCCGGGAAACUGGGUCUAAUACCGGAUACGACUAUCGGACGCAUGUCUGGUGGUGGAAAGUUUUUUCGGUUGGGGAUGGGCUCGCGGCCUAUCAGUUUGUUGGUGAGGUAAUGGCUCACCAAGACGACGACGGGUAGCCGGCCUGAGAGGGCGACCGGCCACACUGGGACUGAGACACGGCCCAGACUCCUACGGGAGGCAGCAGUGGGGAAUAUUGCACAAUGGGGGAAACCCUGAUGCAGCGACGCAGCGUGCGGGAUGACGGCCUUCGGGUUGUAAACCGCUUUCAGCAGGGAAGAAGCCUUCGGGUGACGGUACCUGCAGAAGAAGUACCGGCUAACUACGUG